Molecule: long non-coding RNA, 3606 nt
Filed under: Homo sapiens (human)
Lineage: Eukaryota; Metazoa; Chordata; Mammalia; Primates; Hominidae
Description: non-protein coding LINC01018:21
Source: RNAcentral
AUCCUGGGUUCAGCUUCCCCUGUGAGAAGGACACAUAUAACAAUAAGAAAUUAAGGGUUCGGGAAGGAGAGGGGCCACCCUGUGCUCACCCCCACACAGCCCUGCAGGAAAACCCAGUGAACGGUGCCCAGGUGCCUGGCUGACUCCUGGGCCGGGAGGGGACAUGGAGGGACAGUGGCCAUCAGGCUCUUUGUGGACACUGGGGAUUAACUACUGCUCGUUCUCAGCUCACUGGUGUCCAGCCCAUCAAUAACCUCAUCAAUAACCUAACUUUGGUCAAUUAGGUUGGAGUCCGAAGGUGACUGAUUUGCGGCAAGGUUUUCUCUCUUCCUCUGUAAAGUGGAGUCCUUCAUCAUUCAUCGCAAGUAGACAACUCGCUUCCUAAUGCCUCUGCAUUAAGGAGCCAGGCGCUGCAGCUCUUUGGUACGUGACCUCAAAUAGAUUCAUGCGUCCUUCUGCUGACACGCUCCUGGGAAAUCCAGAAACUCUAGAGAAGCUUGUUUGCCAAACCUUGCUUUGGGCGGUGGAGACAGAAUAUCAUGUCCCAGAUCAGCGUGUGGUGACUGUGGAGGCAUUUACACACAGCACACUCCAGCUCUGCCACUGGGCCGGCUGAGGUGGCUGCGGUACACGGCGCCCAUCCUGAGCCCCAGGUUCCUCACAUGUCAACAGCAUGAAAAGUGCCUCUAAGACAUCCACAGGUGUGCAGUGUUAAAGCAGGUAAGAUGGAUUCACAUCUGCUGGGUGCACGAACACUUCCUCCUUCCUUGCCACCAGCCAGCAUCACAACCAGCCUGGCCAGGCUCCCGUCCCAGCCCAGCCUAGCAGCUAACCCCAGCUCCAUCCCCCAGCAAGCCCCUCUGCCUGCACCUCAGCUUCUUCAUGGAAGACGAGUCAGGUCAUGAUGCCACCAGGGAGCGUGUUUCCAUGUUGAACUGAGACACUAAGCCCUUGACAAAUGUUGGCCAAGAAAAAAAAGGGGCUCCAAGAGGGGAGCUGUGGCUCAGGUAGAAGACGGUGAAUGAGCAUUGCCUGAAUCAGAGUUAGCUACUCUGGUUACACAGGUGUCCCCGGCAGGUUGGUCAAAAGCCCUUCCCUGAGUCCCGUGAUAAGUGUGGGGAGGGAGGCAAAUCAAAGACCCCUACACACCUCCUGCAUGGAUGGCCAGAGCGCUGGUCCCACCUCCUUCCUUCCAAACUGCAACCCCGAUCAGCACAGCAGAGAAGUCUCCUGUGGCAGGGACCAGUAAUUCAGUGCUUCCCCUGGAGAGUCUGGGAUUGCACAGAACACCAGAGGCUGGGGAUUUAUUUGUUCACCAACAUUCAUUCAACAAACACUUACUGAGGCCAACACUGGGAAUGGAGACGAACUUCCCUGUCCUCAUGGAGCUUGCUUUCAAAAGGGAAGGAGGCAGACAGUAAACAAAACAAGCAAGUCAAUAUACAGCAUGAUGCAGAAAAGGUGUGAUGCCACCCUCUUGCCUGAGUUUAUAACAAGCAGAUGAUGUUGUCCUAAGAAUUAAUUUCAGCCGGUGAAAGAGUACAGGCAAAAAACGUGGUCUCGGACUUUCCGGUGAUGCUUAAGAACAUAGUUGCAGUUUUUGUUCUGAUUCUUUGUGCAUCUCGCGCUAAUGAAGGAUUCUGCCAUGAUUGCCACCUCUGGAGACGUCACAGCCAGCACAGCCAUGACCAGGGAUGAACUUGGCCAUUGUCCAGCAGCACCAUGGGAGGACCAGCUGCUGUAAGUGAAGGUCAUCAUCCAUCUGAUUUGCUGGCUUUUUGCAACUACUGCGGUGGAAGUCUUAGAGUAGCCACCUUCUCUGUACUCAGACCUUCACUUCGCCAGAUGUCAGCACAGCAGUGUCAGCAGCUUCGUCAAACACAAACACCACCACCUCUCUGGAUCAGAAGCACAUGGAAAGCCCACCUUGCAAGAAGACCCAGCUAUUCCAAAAGUACCCAUAUCCCUGUAGCAUCCUCUUAGCUGAAUGUCUCUACUCCUUAAACUUGUACCACUUUGAAGAGUAAAAAUUUAAAUUCAUUCAUAUUAUCAUUUUUUAGUUUUUAGUAUAAGUGGAGCUGUUUAUCGGCCAUUUGUAUGUCCUUUUCUUUUUUUUGCAAAUUACUCCUUUGCCAAAUUUUCUCUCAAAUGACUCAUCUUUUUCUUAUUGAUUUGCAGAAGCUAUUUACAUAUUAUGGAUGUGGGGUGUCUAACAUACACAGCAAAUACUUUGUCCCAGUGUGUCACUUUUUAAAAAAAUUCUUAUAAUGUCUUUCAUCUUUAAAAAAUUAUUAAGCUAUUGUGAGCUUUUAUGCCUUUUCAGUUUAUUUUCUUACAUAGAUAAUUAUAUGAAGUGCAAAUAGGGGCAGUGUUAGUCUCAUCUUCCCAAGGCUGCACCUCAGAUGUGGAAUGUUGACAGCAACAUCUGUUACCUUGUUUCUGUUUUUAGGAUUUUAGCGUUAAGGCCAGGCAUAAUGGUUCAUGCCUGUAAUUCCAGCACUUUGGGAGGCCGAGGUGGGCAGAUCACUUGAAGCCAGGAGUUCAAGACCAGCCUGGCCAACAUGGAGAAACCCUCUCUAUUUUUAAAUACAUUUAAAAUGUUAACAAUUAAAACAAAAUAUUUUACCGUUAGUAUGAUGCUUGAUACAGGAUUUCUGGUACAUACGCCUUAUCAAAUUAAAUAAGUUUCCUUUUACUCUUGUUUAUUGUUAUUUUUUAAAAUAAGGAAUGAAUCUUGGAUUUUAGUGUAUCAAUAAUUAUAUUUUAUUCUUUAACUUCAUAAUAUUCCUUAUAAUUCCUUAUGUCAUAUUAAAGAUGUAAAUUCAUAUAUAUUUUAUCAUACAAAUGAUUAAUAAAUGUAUAAGCAUGUCAUUAUAUGAGAGUAUACUUCCUUAUGUUUCAUGAAUGCAUCGUGACAGGCUCAUUUUUUUAAUCACUGCUCGAUUUGUGCCACUGAUGUUUUAUGAGGCCUAUUUAUGUCGGCGAUGGUAAGAGUGUUAGUGUUUCCUCUGUGGGUACCUUCAUCUACCGUGAGUCUCCUGGAUAUGCUAGCAUCACAGAAUGGCAGGCGGAAAUUUCCAGCUUUUUCUAUAGAAUGAGUUUAACACAGAAAAUAGAUCUUUCUUGAAAAUGUGGUAACACUUACCUGGAAACCUCCCUGGCCUAGUGCCUCUUUUCUUGGGGCUAAAGGGUAUGAAAAUGGGUAGAUCUCCAAAUGCCUUUUCCAUUUUUCUAUGAAUAUUAUUCCUACUCAGGCUUUUCUCUUCUUGGAACAAUGCUGCUAACUUGUGCCUACUUGGCUAUUUCUACUUCAUGUAUAUUUUCAAAUCCAUUGGUGUGCAAGUGGACUUAGUAUGUUCUUGCAAGCGUAAGAGUCUCCAUUAGUGUAAUGACCUUCUCUCUUUCUGUUUUCCUUGAGCAAUUAACAUAUAUUUGUCUUAUUUUAUUGGUCUUCUCAAAAGAAUAUGCUUUUGAGUUAUUGAUCACCUGUACCAUGUGUUCUAUCACACUAUUCUGUGUUUACUCAAGCUCGUUAAUUGAUAUUCAAAUCCCUGUAUUUUGUCAAUUUCUGUUAGAUGCUAGUAUUAAAAAUUUUUUAUAUAACCG